RNAcentral lists this long non-coding RNA (221 nucleotides) under Elaeis guineensis (African oil palm). RNAcentral's name for it is "long non-coding RNA (EGUI_LNC029292)". The record is from RNAcentral. Lineage: Eukaryota; Viridiplantae; Streptophyta; Magnoliopsida; Arecales; Arecaceae.
GAACGUGCACUUGCAAAAAUGAGAAGUCCACACUGACCGGAGGCGGCUCCGGCGGGGACUCUCCGACGGUCAAGUCAGAGAGGUGACUGGGCAACAGUGAAAUGAAGACAGAGGGCUCAAUCGAGGGAGAGAGGGAGAGAGGUGCGAGCCUGUGGUCUCGAGGUCGAGAAGUGGAGAGCCCCUCGCACUGUUGCCUUCCCCAAUUUAUAUAGUGGAGCACG